GACGAACGCUGGCGGCGUGCCUAAUACAUGCAAGUUGAGCGCUGAAGGUUGGUACUUGUACCGACUGGAUGAGCAGCGCACGGGUGAGUAACGCGUGGGGAAUCUGCCUUUGAGCGGGGGACAACAUUUGGAAACGAAUGCUAAUACCGCAUAAAAACUUUAAACACAAGUUUUAAGUUUGAAAGAUGCAAUUGCAUCACUCAAAGAUGAUCCCGCGUUGUAUUAGCUAGUUGGUGAGGUAAAGGAUCACCAAGGCGAUGAUACAUAGCCGAACUGAGAGGGUGAUCGGCCAGAUUGGGACUGAGACACGGCCCAAACUCCCACGGAAGGCAGCAGUAGGGAAUCGUCGGGAAUGGACGAAAGUCUGACCGAGAAACGCCGCGUGAGUGAAGAAGGUUGUCGGAUCGGAAAACUCGGUUGGUAGGGAAGAACGUUGGUGAGAGUGGAACGCUCAUCAAGUGACGGUAACUACUCAGAAAGGGACGGCUAACUACGUG
RNAcentral lists this ribosomal RNA (497 nucleotides) under uncultured bacterium. Its description in RNAcentral is "partial 16S ribosomal RNA". It matches the Rfam family "Bacterial small subunit ribosomal RNA", at positions 28 to 507 of the family's 1533-position model. The record is from RNAcentral.